CGCCCUCGAAGUAGAAGAGCACAUUCUGGUAGAGGGCGAACCACUUCUCGUGCCAGCGGCUCGCCUCGGCCGUCUUCUUACUCAGGAAGCCGCGCUUGGUGCCCUCCUUGCGCGCCAGAAAGGCCAGGCUCAGCUUUCUCAUCACUAAACUGGAGAUACAGGAGUUGGAGACUUGGAAUUCCCUUUGGUGCAGAAACUAUUCCUUCAUGAGAAGAAGUCCUUAAAUAGGCUCUUUAG
RNAcentral lists this non-coding RNA (237 nucleotides) under Pongo abelii (Sumatran orangutan). Lineage: Eukaryota; Metazoa; Chordata; Mammalia; Primates; Hominidae. The record is from RNAcentral.